CCUACGGGAGGCAGCAGUGGGGAAUAUUGCGCAAUGGGCGAAAGCCUGACGCAGCGACGCCGCGUGAGGGAUGAAGGUCUUCGGAUCGUAAACCUCUGUCAGCAGGGAAGAACGGUCACUGUGCUAAUCAGCAGUGAAUUGACGGUACCUGCAAAGGAAGCACCGGCUAACUCCGUGCCAGCAGCCGCGGUAAUACGGAGGGUGUGAGCGUUAAUCGGAAUUACUGGGCGUAAAGCGCUCGUAGGCGGUAUGUCAAGUCAAGGGUGAAAUCCCCGGGCUCAACGUGGGAACUGCCUUUGAAACGGGCAAACUGGAGUGUGUGAGAGGAUAGUGGAAUUCCAGGGGUAGGAGUGAAAGCCGUAGAUAUCGGGAGGAACAUCAGUGCCGAAGGCGACUAUCUGGCACAUAACUGACGCUGAGGAGCGAAAGCGUGGGUAGCAAACAGGAUUAGAUACCCCAGUAGUC
This 465-nucleotide ribosomal RNA is filed under the name uncultured bacterium. Its description in RNAcentral is "partial 16S ribosomal RNA". It matches the Rfam family "Bacterial small subunit ribosomal RNA", at positions 338 to 795 of the family's 1533-position model. The record is from RNAcentral.